RNAcentral lists this ribosomal RNA (253 nucleotides) under uncultured bacterium. Its description in RNAcentral is "partial 16S ribosomal RNA". It matches the Rfam family "Bacterial small subunit ribosomal RNA", at positions 524 to 776 of the family's 1533-position model. The record is from RNAcentral.
UACGAAGGGGGCUAGCGUUGUUCGGAAUCACUGGGCGUAAAGGGCGCGUAGGCGGCUUUGUAAGUCGGGGGUGAAAGCCUGUGGCUCAACCACAGAAUUGCCUUCGAUACUGCAUGGCUUGAGACCGGAAGAGGUAAGUGGAACUGCGAGUGUAGAGGUGAAAUGCGUAGAUAUCUGGAGGAACACCGGUGGCGAAGGCGGCAUCCUGGACCGACACUGACACUGAGGAGCGAAAGCCAGGGGAGCAAACGGG